This 497-nucleotide ribosomal RNA is filed under the name uncultured bacterium. RNAcentral describes it as "partial 16S ribosomal RNA". It matches the Rfam family "Bacterial small subunit ribosomal RNA", at positions 28 to 507 of the family's 1533-position model. The record is from RNAcentral.
GAUGAACGCUGGCGGCGUGCCUAAUACAUGCAAGUCGAGCGAACAGACGAGGAGCUUGCUCCUCUGACGUUAGCGGCGGACGGGUGAGUAACACGUGGAUAACCUACCUAUAAGACUGGGAUAACUUCGGGAAACCGGAGCUAAUACCGGAUAACAUGUUGAACCGCAUGGUUCAACAGUGAAAGACGGUCUUGCUGUCACUUAUAGAUGGAUCCGCGCCGCAUUAGCUAGUUGGUAAGGUAACGGCUUACCAAGGCAACGAUGCGUAGCCGACCUGAGAGGGUGAUCGGCCACACUGGAACUGAGACACGGUCCAGACUCCUACGGGAGGAAGCAGUAGGGAAUCUUCCGCAAUGGGCGAAAGCCUGACGGAGCAACGCCGCGUGAGUGAAGAAGGUCUUCGGAUCGUAAAACUCUGUUAUUAGGGAAGAACAAAUGUGUAAGUACCUAUGCACGUCUUGACGGUACCUAAUCAGAAAGCCACGGCUAACUACGUG